This 73-nucleotide transfer RNA is filed under the name FCB group bacterium. RNAcentral describes it as "tRNA-Ala". It matches the Rfam family "tRNA". From Rfam's summary of the family: Transfer RNA (tRNA) molecules are approximately 80 nucleotides in length. Their secondary structure includes four short double-helical elements and three loops (D, anti-codon, and T loops). The record is from RNAcentral. Lineage: Bacteria; Pseudomonadati.
GGGGUUGUAGCUCAAUUGGGAGAGCGCUGCGUUCGCAAUGCAGAGGCAGAGGGUUCAAAUCCCUUCAACUCCA